RNAcentral lists this ribosomal RNA (621 nucleotides) under Rahnella sp. WH9. Its description in RNAcentral is "bacterial SSU rRNA". It matches the Rfam family "Bacterial small subunit ribosomal RNA", at positions 826 to 1444 of the family's 1533-position model. The record is from RNAcentral. Lineage: Bacteria; Pseudomonadati; Pseudomonadota; Gammaproteobacteria; Enterobacterales; Yersiniaceae.
GUGCCCUUGAGGCGUGGCUUCCGGAGCUAACGCGUUAAGUCGACCGCCUGGGGAGUACGGCCGCAAGGUUAAAACUCAAAUGAAUUGACGGGGGCCCGCACAAGCGGUGGAGCAUGUGGUUUAAUUCGAUGCAACGCGAAGAACCUUACCUACUCUUGACAUCCAGAGAAUUCGCUAGAGAUAGCUUAGUGCCUUCGGGAACUCUGAGACAGGUGCUGCAUGGCUGUCGUCAGCUCGUGUUGUGAAAUGUUGGGUUAAGUCCCGCAACGAGCGCAACCCUUAUCCUUUGUUGCCAGCACGUAAUGGUGGGAACUCAAAGGAGACUGCCGGUGACAAACCGGAGGAAGGUGGGGAUGACGUCAAGUCAUCAUGGCCCUUACGAGUAGGGCUACACACGUGCUACAAUGGCAUAUACAAAGAGAAGCAAACUCGCGAGAGCAAGCGGACCUCAUAAAGUAUGUCGUAGUCCGGAUUGGAGUCUGCAACUCGACUCCAUGAAGUCGGAAUCGCUAGUAAUCGUAGAUCAGAAUGCUACGGUGAAUACGUUCCCGGGGCCUUGUACACACCGCCCGUCACACCAUGGGAGUGGGUUGCAAAAAGAAGUAGGUAGCUUAACCUUCG